Molecule: ribosomal RNA, 253 nt
Filed under: uncultured bacterium
Lineage: Bacteria
Description: partial 16S ribosomal RNA
Rfam family: Bacterial small subunit ribosomal RNA
Source: RNAcentral
GACAGAGGGUGCAAACGUUGCUCGGAAUCACUGGGCGUAAAGGGCGCGUAGGCGGGGAUGUAAGUCGGGCGUGAAAUCCCCAGGCUCAACCUGGGAACUGCACUCGAAACUGCGUUUCUUGAGUAUCGGAGAGGAAAGCGGAAUUCCUGGUGUAGAGGUGGAAUUCGUAGAUAUCAGGAGGAACACCAGUGGCGAAGGCGGCUUUCUGGACGGUAACUGACGCUGAGGCGCGAAAGCGUGGGGAGCAAACAGG